UGAUUCCUUUGGGGCAGGGUGUAAUUCCCGACCGACGGUAAUAAGCGUUAUAGCUUAAAGUCCGUGACCCGGAUCGCCACGAGUGGUGUGAAGGUGGAUUUGGUGAGAGGCCAAAACCGACAGUAAUAGUCUGGAUGGGAAAAGGAAUGC
This 150-nucleotide non-coding RNA is filed under the name Gracilibacillus halophilus. Its description in RNAcentral is "FMN sequence". It matches the Rfam family "FMN riboswitch aptamer (RFN element)". From Rfam's summary of the family: The RFN element is a highly conserved domain that is found frequently in the 5'-untranslated regions of prokaryotic mRNAs that encode for flavin mononucleotide (FMN) biosynthesis and transport proteins. This element is a metabolite-dependent riboswitch that directly binds FMN in the absence of proteins. Lineage: Bacteria; Bacillati; Bacillota; Bacilli; Caryophanales; Bacillaceae. RNAcentral also lists the same sequence under 1 other name. The record is from RNAcentral.